GGAGAGAUAGCGAAGUGGCUAAACGCGGCGGACUGUAAAUCCGCUCCUUCGGGUUCGGGGGUUCGAAUCCCUCUCUCUCCA
This is a transfer RNA of Streptococcus sp., 81 nucleotides long. It matches the Rfam family "tRNA". Rfam says of the family: Transfer RNA (tRNA) molecules are approximately 80 nucleotides in length. Their secondary structure includes four short double-helical elements and three loops (D, anti-codon, and T loops). Further hydrogen bonds mediate the characteristic L-shaped molecular structure. tRNAs have two regions of fundamental functional importance: the anti-codon, which is responsible for specific mRNA codon recognition, and the 3' end, to which the tRNAs corresponding amino acid is attached (by aminoacyl-tRNA synthetases). tRNAs cope with the degeneracy of the genetic code in two manners: having more than one tRNA (with a specific anti-codon) for a particular amino acid; and 'wobble' base-pairing, i.e. permitting non-standard base-pairing at the 3rd anti-codon position. The record is from Rfam. NCBI's taxonomy places the organism in Bacteria, Bacillati, Bacillota, Bacilli, Lactobacillales, Streptococcaceae.